GACAUGCAUCGUACACUGUGCACGGGCUGUUUGUGCAGCAAGCGUGCGUGGAUAGGCCCUGUGCGCCUAGGGCCUACGCGCGCAGCACCCAACUUGCCUAGCCCCUACGCGCGUGUAGGAGGCUUGUGUACCUGUAGGCUUGCCUGCAACGUGCCAACCGGAGUGCUACCACCUCGGACAGUGCGCCACUCCUGCCUUGGGUGACGCACUGUCGCCAUCAGAGGAGGCCCUUCUUUCUCAUUUUUUGUAUCGAGCAUCUUUUUCUCCUCUCUCUUUAUUGGAUUUUGCUACUUGGUGUGAAUCCAACGGUUAUGAAAUUUUAUAAAUUGCCUUCCCCCUUCCUUUCAUCUCCACAUUUUUAUUCUUUUAUUUUUCAAAGGUUUAGAGAGAGAGAGAGAAAAAUAAUAGUCUAGUGAGGGAAUAAGAGAAAGAAAGGAGACCGGUGAGGGAGAAAACAUCAAGGUUUUGGUAAAGAAUCUAGUAUUUCUUUUGAUGUCGUAAAGAGUAUUUUUAGAUAAACUAAUUUAAUAUGAUU
Molecule: long non-coding RNA, 535 nt
Filed under: Carica papaya (papaya)
Lineage: Eukaryota; Viridiplantae; Streptophyta; Magnoliopsida; Brassicales; Caricaceae
Description: long non-coding RNA (CPAP_LNC002506)
Source: RNAcentral